This is a non-coding RNA of Callithrix jacchus (white-tufted-ear marmoset), 1733 nucleotides long. NCBI's taxonomy places the organism in Eukaryota, Metazoa, Chordata, Mammalia, Primates, Cebidae. The record is from RefSeq and is a predicted model, not a curated record.
AAAGCAGAGAGUCUAUUUUGAUAAGCGAUCCCAGGGAACAGGAAUGGGGAACUGGGGAGAGAGGGCAUCAGAGAAGGAAAACCUGAUUCAAACGUGAGUUCUGGAGUUGGUCAACCAGCGGGCCAUGCUACAGGGGCAUGAUCCCACAAAGACUCUAGAGAACCAGGUAGAAUGUGCCUCUGAAUUGCCUGUGUGAAAGAAGAGAAGAGAUUUACUCAUGGGCUCCAGUCUCCCUGGGGUAUUAAAGCACCUUCACUUCCAGGCUACACAUCAUAAACGCCGAAGAGGAUUCCUCAGGUAUCAAUAACCCUGGCAGAAAGUGAGAGUCUAAACAUCCCCGGGUUGACUCAGCUGAAGUUCGGAGACCUUACGUAAGGCACCCAAGCUCCCAGAGCUGGGUGCUCAUGCAUAGAGGAAAAGGUCUCAUGGGCUCCCUGGAUGGGCAUCUCUCUGGCCACAAAGAUACAGGUAAACAUAGAGGGACAUACAUUUAGCAUUGGCUCUGCCUAUGAAGUCCCCUCCUUCGUGCUGGGGCUGAUGCCAAAUGGUAUUCUGAUGUGUGACAAAGGGAAGCAGUACAACUACAGAAAGCACAGAAGAAUAGUGUUAAAGAUGACAGGCAGGAUUAAAUUGGAGAAAUAAAGAUAGCAGGGAGAGAAACAAAAAUAUUUUUCCUUUUCGUCCAAGUACUGAUGUAAUCAAAUCUUCUAAAACAUCAGUUGCCCACAACUGCUAUGACAAUUAUUCAUAAAAGGCAAUGGAGUCCCAGCCUACUCCUUAAAAUAAAACCAAUUUCUACUUGUGAAUAGCUAGUUGCCCAGUGCUGCACUCCUGUCCCCUGAUGAGGUCCCAUGUCUUUCUAUCCUCACACAAGCUCAAAGAAAGAAUGAGCAGGGACCUUAUUACUAUUAUUAUUAUAGUUAACAUCUAUUAAGCCCUCACUUUGAUCCCAGAGAGUGCAAAUUUGUUCUUGUGGAGGUUCCUAACGACCCUCAUGUUCCCACACCCGGUGGAUUUUCUUCUCUGUCCUCCUUUUACUUGGCCUCUCAGCAGCAUUCACCAGAGUGACAUCUCCCCACUUUCCAAACUCUUGCUUUCCUUGGUGCUGAGACACUACUCUCUGGUUGGCCUCCUAUCUCAAUAGCGUCUCAUCUUAAUCUUUUUGCUUGUUGUUCUUUCUCUGUCUGAACUCAUGAUAUGGGUGUUUCUCAGAGUCAGGGCCUGGGCCUUCUGCCCUUUCCAUAUUUUUGCCUAGGUGGUCUCUUUUUUUUUUCCCAUGGGUUUAGAUCCUGUGAAUGCUGAUGACUCUGAAAUUCAUAUCUCCUGCUAAGACUUUUCCUCUGACUUUGAGACUCUCACAUCUGACCAUCAACUUUAUGUCUCCAUUUGGAUGUCUCAAAGGUAGACCCAACUUGUCUCAAAUUCAACUCUUGCUUUCCCCUCCCUUCCAAGCAAAUGCCCCUUGCACCUUCUACAUGGUGACUUCUACUCACUGUUCUUAACAUCCAUCUGCAAGUUUGGUCAAUUCUAUCUCUUCUUGUCUGCGUCCCUUCCAUCGCCUUCCCAGCCUCCAUCAUGUCUUCCCUGGAUUUCUGCAGUGGUUUCUGAUGGCCCUCUCCACACCCACUCCUGCCUCCCUACAAAAUGUUCUCUACUCAGCAGUUGGAGUGCAUAUUAAAACAUGUAAAAUAAUUCAUGUCUCCCUCUGAAAUCCUAUUUAAGAACUUUUGGAA